AGUCGAGCGAGGUCCAUCCAGUGGUAACACUGGUGAAGACCUAGCGGCGAACGGGUGAGUAACACGUGAGAAACCUGCCCCGAAGACUGGGAUAACUCUCCGAAAGGAGAGCUAAUACCAGAUGCCCUCACCGGGCCGCAUGACUUGGUGAGGAAAUGGAUUCCGCUUCGGGAGGGUCUCGCGGCCUAUCAGCUUGUUGGUGAGGUAACGGCUCACCAAGGCUUCGACGGGUAGCUGGUCUGAGAGGAUGAUCAGCCACACUGGGACUGAGACACGGCCCCGACUCCUACGGGAGGCAGCAGUGGGGAAUCUUGCGCAAUGGGCGAAAGCCUGACGCAGCAACGCCGCGUGGGGGAUGAAGGCUCUCGGGUUGUAAACCCCUUUCAGCAGGGAAGAUUAUGACGGUACCUGCAGAAGAAGCCCCGGCCAACUACGUGCCAGCAGCCGCGGUAAUACGUAGGGGGCAAGCGUUGUCCGGAUUUAUUGGGCGUAAAGAGCUUGUAGGCGGCUUGGUAAGUCGAGUGUGAAAACUCCAGGCUCAACCUGGAGACGCCAUUCGAUACUGCCAUGGCUAGAGUCCGGUAGAGGAGCACGGAAUUCCUGGUGUAGCGGUGAAAUGCGCAGAUAUCAGGAGGAACACCAGCAGCGAAGGCGGUGCUCUGGGCCGGUACUGACGCUGAGAAGCGAAAGCGUGGGGAGCGAACAGGAUUAGAUACCCUGGUAGUCCACGCCGUAAACGUUGGGCACUAGGUGUGGGUCCCUAUCGACGGGAUCUGUGCCGUAGCUAACGCAUUAAGUGCCCCGCCUG
This 808-nucleotide ribosomal RNA is filed under the name uncultured bacterium. RNAcentral describes it as "bacterial SSU rRNA". It matches the Rfam family "Bacterial small subunit ribosomal RNA", at positions 60 to 875 of the family's 1533-position model. The record is from RNAcentral.